UUGUAAAGCUCUUUCGGCCGGGAAGAAAUCGGCGACUCUAACAUAGUCGCUGGAUGACGGUACCGGACUAAGAAGCACCGGCUAACUACGUGCCAGCAGCCGCGGUAAUACGUAGGGUGCGAGCGUUAAUCGGAAUUACUGGGCGUAAAGCGUGCGCAGGCGGUUUUGUAAGACAGAUGUGAAAUCCCCGGGCUUAACCUGGGAACUGCGUUUGUGACUGCAAGGCUAGAGUACGGCAGAGGGGGGUGGAAUUCCACGUGUAGCAGUGAAAUGCGUAGAGAUGUGGAGGAACACCGAUGGCGAAGGCAGCCCCCUGGGCCUGUACUGACGCUCAUGCACGAAAGCGUGGGGAGCAAACAGGAUUAGAUACCCUGGUAGUCCACGCCCUAAACGAUGUCGACUAGUCGUUCGGAGCAGCAAUGCACUGAGUGACGCAGCUAACGCGUGAAGUCGACCGCCUGGGGAGUACGGCCGCAAGGU
This 480-nucleotide ribosomal RNA is filed under the name uncultured Thauera sp. RNAcentral describes it as "bacterial SSU rRNA". It matches the Rfam family "Bacterial small subunit ribosomal RNA", at positions 423 to 894 of the family's 1533-position model. The record is from RNAcentral. Lineage: Bacteria; Pseudomonadati; Pseudomonadota; Betaproteobacteria; Rhodocyclales; Zoogloeaceae.